This 198-nucleotide ribosomal RNA is filed under the name uncultured bacterium. Its description in RNAcentral is "partial 16S ribosomal RNA". It matches the Rfam family "Bacterial small subunit ribosomal RNA", at positions 328 to 539 of the family's 1533-position model. The record is from RNAcentral.
ACGCUCGACACCUACGGGGGGCAGCAGUGGGGAAUAUUGCACAAUGGGGGAAACCCUGAUGCAGCGACGCCGCGUGGGCGAAGAAGUAUUUCGGUAUGUAAAGCUCUAUCAGCAGGGAAGAUCAUGACGGUACCUGACUAAGAAGCUCCGGCUAAAUACGUGCCAGCAGCCGCGGUAAUCUGAGCGGGCUGGCAAGGC